GGAGAGUUGUCCGAGCUGGCUGAAGGAGCACGGUUGGAAACCGUGUAGGCGAUUCUUUCGUCUCAAGGGUUCGAAUCCCUUACUCUCCG
RNAcentral lists this transfer RNA (89 nucleotides) under Ignavigranum ruoffiae. It matches the Rfam family "tRNA". From Rfam's summary of the family: Transfer RNA (tRNA) molecules are approximately 80 nucleotides in length. Their secondary structure includes four short double-helical elements and three loops (D, anti-codon, and T loops). The record is from Rfam by way of RNAcentral. Lineage: Bacteria; Bacillati; Bacillota; Bacilli; Lactobacillales; Aerococcaceae.